This 208-nucleotide ribosomal RNA is filed under the name uncultured Latescibacterota bacterium. RNAcentral's name for it is "uncultured Latescibacteria bacterium partial 16S ribosomal RNA". It matches the Rfam family "Bacterial small subunit ribosomal RNA", at positions 568 to 775 of the family's 1533-position model. Lineage: Bacteria; Pseudomonadati; Candidatus Latescibacterota. The record is from RNAcentral.
CGUGUAGGCGGUCAGGUAAGUGGAAUGUGAAAUGCCCCGGCUCACCCGGGGACCGGCAUCCCAAACUGCCUGGCUUGAGUAUGGGAGAGGAUGGAGGAAUUCCUGGUGUAGCGGUGAAAUGCGUAGAUAUCAGGAGGAACACCGGUGGCGAAGGCGUCCAUCUGGCCCAAUACUGACGCUGAGGCGCGAAAGCUAGGGGAGGCAAACG